CCUACGGGAGGCAGCAGUGGGGAAUAUUGGGCAAUGGAGGCAACUCUGACCCAGCAACGCCGCGUGAAUGAUGAAGGUCUUCGGAUUGUAAAGCUCUGUGAUGGGGGAUGAACACAAUGACGGUACCCCACUAGCCAGCCACGGCUAACUCCGUGCCAGCAGCCGCGGUAAUACGUAGGUGGCAAGCGUUAUCCGGAAUGACUGGGCGUAAAGUGUGCGUAGGCGGUUUGGUAAGUUGGCGGUGAAAUUCCGGGGCUCAACCUCGGCGCUACCGCCGAAACUAUUAGGCUAGAGUGCAGGAGAGGGGAGUAGAAUUCCAAGUGUAGCGGUGGAAUGCGUAGAGAUUAGGAGGAACAUCAGGGGCGAAGGCGACUUACUGGAC
Molecule: ribosomal RNA, 382 nt
Filed under: uncultured bacterium
Lineage: Bacteria
Description: partial 16S ribosomal RNA
Rfam family: Bacterial small subunit ribosomal RNA
Source: RNAcentral